Molecule: ribosomal RNA, 253 nt
Filed under: uncultured bacterium
Lineage: Bacteria
Description: partial 16S ribosomal RNA
Rfam family: Bacterial small subunit ribosomal RNA
Source: RNAcentral
GACAGAGGUGCCGAGCGUUAGGCGGAAUCACUGGGCUUAAAGCGUGUGUAGGCGGACUUCUAAGUACCUUGUGAAAUCCCACGGCUCAACCGUGGAACUGCUCGGUAUACUGGUCGUCUUGAGCCACUUAGGGGCAGUCGGAACAAAUGGUGGAGCGGUGAAAUGCGUAGAUAUCAUUUGGAACGCCAAUGGUGAAAACAGCUCGCUGGGGGUUUGCUGACGCUGAGACACGAAAGCCAGGGGAGCAAACGGG